RNAcentral lists this ribosomal RNA (469 nucleotides) under uncultured soil bacterium. RNAcentral describes it as "bacterial SSU rRNA". It matches the Rfam family "Bacterial small subunit ribosomal RNA", at positions 26 to 506 of the family's 1533-position model. The record is from RNAcentral.
AGGACGAACGCUGGCGGCGUGCUUAACACAUGCAAGUCGAACGGUGAACUCCGCUUGCGGGGGGAUCAGUGGCGAACGGGUGAGUAACACGUGGGCAACCUGCCCUCAGCUCUGGGAUAACUCCAAGAAAUUGGGGCUAAUACUGGAUAUGACUGCUGACCGCAUGGUCUGGUGGUGGAAAGAUUUAUCGGCUGGGGAUGGGCCCGCGGCCUAUCAGCUUGUUGGUGGGGUAGUGGCCUACCAAGGCGACGACGGGUAGCCGGCCUGAGAGGGUGACCGGCCACACUGGGACUGAGACACGGCCCAGACUCCUACGGGAGGCAGCAGUGGGGAAUAUUGCGCAAUGGGCGAAAGCCUGACGCAGCGACGCCGCGUGGGGGAUGGACGGCCGUUCGGGUUGUAAACCUCUUUCAGCAGGACGAAGGCGAAGUAGACGUACCUGCAGAAGAAGCGACCGGCCAACGUACGU